Molecule: ribosomal RNA, 270 nt
Filed under: uncultured bacterium
Lineage: Bacteria
Description: partial 16S ribosomal RNA
Rfam family: Bacterial small subunit ribosomal RNA
Source: RNAcentral
AACGAACGCUGGCGGCAUGCCUAACACAUGCAAGUCGAACGAGACCUUCGGGUCUAGUGGCGCACGGGUGCGUAACGCGUGGAAUCUGCCCUUGGGUUCGGAAUAACAGUUAGAAAUGACUGCUAAUACCGGAUAAUGCCUUCGGACCAAAGAUUUAUCGCCCAGGGAUGAGCCCGCGUAGGAUUAGCUAGUUGGUGAGGUAAAGGCUCACCAAGGCGACGAUCCUUAGCUGGUCUGAGAGGAUGAUCAGCCACACUGGGACUGAGACAC